GACGAACGCUGGCGGCGUGCUUAACACAUGCAAGUCGAACGGAAAGACCCUGCUUUUGUGGGGUGCUCGAGUGGCGAACGGGUGAGUAACACGUGAGUAACCUGCCCUUGACUUUGGGAUAACUUCAGGAAACUGGGGCUAAUACCGGAUCGGAGCUCCUGCUGCAUGGUGGGGGUUGGAAAGUUUCGGCGGUUGGGGAUGGACUCGCGGCUUAUCAGCUUGUUGGUGGGGUAGUGGCUUACCAAGGCUUUGACGGGUAGCCGGCCUGAGAGGGUGACCGGGCACAUUGGUACUGAGGUACGGCGCAGACUGCUACGGUAGGCAGAAGUGGGGAAUAUUGCACAAUGGGCGGAAGCCUGAUGCAGCAACGCCGCGUGCGGGAUGACGUUCUGCGGGGUGUAAACCGCUGUCGCUUGUGACGAAGCGGGAGUGACGGUAAUGGGUAAAGAAGCACCGGCUAACUACGUG
This 468-nucleotide ribosomal RNA is filed under the name uncultured bacterium. RNAcentral's name for it is "partial 16S ribosomal RNA". It matches the Rfam family "Bacterial small subunit ribosomal RNA", at positions 28 to 507 of the family's 1533-position model. The record is from RNAcentral.